RNAcentral lists this small nucleolar RNA (114 nucleotides) under Octodon degus (degu). RNAcentral's name for it is "Small nucleolar RNA SNORA28 (ENSODEG00000024138.1)". Lineage: Eukaryota; Metazoa; Chordata; Mammalia; Rodentia; Octodontidae. The record is from RNAcentral.
GUUGAAUUCUCAAAAAAAAAAUAGGCAAAAUUUGAGCUUGCUACAGCAAGAAAGUCUAACCAAUUCAGGGGCUCUCCUCUCUGUGAGAUGGGCCAUUACAAAGACUUAAACAGU